Non-coding RNA from Pelobates cultripes (western spadefoot toad), 218 nucleotides. NCBI's taxonomy places the organism in Eukaryota, Metazoa, Chordata, Amphibia, Anura, Pelobatidae. The record is from the annotation of a GenBank genome assembly.
UAGUGGCAGAGUGAGGGAAGAAAGGGAUGACUGGUGACAGAGUGAGAGAGGGGGUGACUAGUGACAGAGUGAAAGAGGGGGUGACUGUCACUAGUCACCCCAUCCCUCACUCUGUCACUAGUCACCCCCUCUCUCACUCUGUCACUAGUCACCCCCUCUCUCACUCUGUCACUAGUCACCCCCUUCCCUCUCUCUGUCACUCCCUCACUCUGUCACUA